GUGGGAAAGGGGAGUGCACUUGAAAACAUCAAACCGAUUUACAUUAUUUGCAUUUGUAAACUCACCGUAGAUACAUUUUGGAACCAUUAUGGCAGCCAGUGAAUCAAGAGCGACCGCGCCAAGUGCAUGACUACGGCAUCGGUUUGGAAGGUGAGCGAAGGGAGACGAGAGGAGAAGCUGUAAGCCCGCGGUGACAGCCAGGCAUGUUCACUUCGGCUUUUUUCCCUAGCAAAUCGACAGGAGAUACAACCCGGGAGAUGUGCUAUAAAACAAACUGCGCUCUCAAAGGAAGCCGGCGGACAGCGAUGGCUAGGUUGGCACGUCAGAAUAACCAGCCAGAAAAGAAAGAGAGAGAAGGACGUGAUCAAUGGACUUGAACUCUGGAGCUCCACUGCCACAGACGGAAAGAGUCACAAUCCAGUCAAGAAGCAUGCAGCAUGAAGCUGAUCAACUCACCAGGAAAAACGUUUUCAGUCGCAAUUUUGCAUUGACCUCAUAUAAUGACUUCCAUGAUACUGAUCAAAUGAAGCCUGGUUUGUUCUAAGGUAACUUUAAUGUGCUGAAACUGUACUUUCAUAUUCGAAUGAGAGGGGAAUUGUUCAUGUUUGAUAUGCUAACAUGCUAUCUGUGUAGUGUCUUGCAAGCUACAUUUAAUGCGUGUACGAACAUGAAAAUAAACCCCUUAAUUGUCUAUAUACUUGUGAAUCGUUGCAUUAUUCAAGUGUAGUUAAUAUGUUUUAGAGGAAAAGUUGUUUGCAUUGUCGAACAGUAUGCAAUGUUACAAGGUUAGUGAUAACUGUGAUACUGAUUUUUACGGUAAAUUUGGAGCUGCAGAUCCAGAAAGUGAAUAUACAGUACCAGUCAAAAGUUUGGACAUACCUACUCAUUCAAAGGUUUUAAUUAUUUUUUACUAUUUUCUACAUUGUUAAAUAAUAGUGAAGACAUCAAAAUUAUGAAAUACCACAUAUGGAAUCAUUUUGUAACUAAAGUGUUAAACAAAUCAAAAUAUAAUAUUUGAGAUUCUUAAAAGUAGCCACCCUUUGCCUUGACAGCUUUUCACGUUCUUGGCAUUCUCCAACCAGCUUCAUGAAGUAGUCACCUGGAAUGCAUUUCAAUUAACAGGUGUGCCUUGUUUAAAGUACAAGUUUGAGCCAAUCAGUUGUGUUGUGACAAGUUAGGGCAUUUUUCUGUAUACCACCCCUAUUUGGUAAAAGACCAAGGCCAUAUUAUUGCAAGAACAGCUCAAAUAAGCAAGAGAAAUGACAGGCCAUCAUUACUUUAAGACAUGAAGGUCAGUCAAUGUGGAAAAUUUCAAGAGCUUUGUAAGUUUAUUUCAAAUGCAGUCGCAAAACCCAUCAAGCGCUAUGCUGAAACUGCCACAGGAAAGGAAGACCCAGAGGUACCUCUGCUGCAGAGUAUAAGUUCAUUAGAAUUAACUGCACCUCAGAUAGCAGCCCAAAUAAAUGCUUCACAGAGUUCAAGUAACAGUCACAUCAACAUUCACUGUUCAGAGGAGACUGUGUGAAUCAGGCCUUAAUGGUUGAAUUGCUGCAAAGAAACCACUACUAAAGGACACCAAUAAUAAGAAGAGUCUUGCUUGGGCCAAGAAACAUGAGCAAUGGACAUUAGACUGGUGGAAAUCUGUCCUUUGGUCUGAUGAGUCCAAAUUUGCGAUUUUUGGUUUCAACCGCCGUGUCUUUGUGAGACGCAAAGUAGGUGAACGGAUUAUCUCCACACGGGUGCAAACAACCCGCCCUCCAGGACACCUAUGUCACAGGAAGGUCAAAAAUAUCAUCUAGGACAUCAACCACCCGAGCCACUGCCUGUUCACCCCGCUAUCAUCCAGAAGGCAAGGUCAGUACAGGUGUAUCAAAGCUGGGACAGAGAGACUGAAAAACAGCUUUUAUCUCAAGGCCAUCAGACUGUGAAACAACUAUCACUAGAACAUUAGAGGCUGCUGCCAAUAGGCAUAGACUAGGAAUCACUGGCCACUUUAAGGAAUGGAACACUAGUCACUUUAAUAAUGUUUACAUAUCUGGAAUUACUCAUCUCAUAUGUACAGUUAAAGUCAGAAGUUUACAUACACUUAGGUUGGAGUCAUUAAAACUCAUUUUUCAACCACUCCACAAAUUUCUUGUUAACAAACUAUAGUUUUGGCAAGUCGGUUAGGACAUCUACUUUGUGCAUGACACAAGUCAUUUUCCCAACAAUUGUUUACAGAUACUUUCACUUAUAAUUCACUGUAUCACAAUUCCAGUGGGUCAGAAGUUUACAUACACUAAGUUGACUGUGCCUUUAAACAUUUGGAAAAUUCCAGAAUAGUAUGUCAUGGCUUUAGAAGCUUCUGAUAGGCUAAUUGACAUUUGAGUCAAUUGGAUGUGUACAUGUGGAUGUAUUUCAAGGCCUACCUUCAAACUCAGUGCCUCUUUGUUUGACAUCAUGGGAAAAUCAAAAGAAAUCAGCCAAGACCUAAAAAAAAAAAAUUGUAGACCUCCACAAGUCUUGUUCAUCCUUGGGAGCAAUUUCCAAACAACUGAAGGUACCACGUUCAUCUGUACAAACAAUAGUACACAAGUAUAAACACCAUGGGACCACGCAUCCAUCAUACCGCUCAGGAAGAAGAAGCGUUCCAUCUCCUAGAGAUGAACUUACUUUGGUGCGAAAAGUGCAAAUCAAUCCCAGAACAACAGCAAAGGACCUUGUGAAGAUGC
This 2711-nucleotide long non-coding RNA is filed under the name Salmo salar (Atlantic salmon). Its description in RNAcentral is "lncRNA (ENSSSAG00000103397.1)". Lineage: Eukaryota; Metazoa; Chordata; Actinopteri; Salmoniformes; Salmonidae. The record is from RNAcentral.